GUAGACACAUUCCAGCCAAUCAGCAGCAGGCCCUCCCUCCCAGGCCCUCCCGCCUCCUGGACAGCAUCCAUUGUGAAGCUGCAUUCUUAGUGAGCUGUGCAGGAGGUGGGAGGGUCUGGGAGGGAGGGUCUGCUGCUGAUUGGCUGGAAUGUGUCUG
Molecule: non-coding RNA, 157 nt
Organism: Pelobates cultripes (western spadefoot toad)
Lineage: Eukaryota; Metazoa; Chordata; Amphibia; Anura; Pelobatidae
Source: the annotation of a GenBank genome assembly